This 72-nucleotide transfer RNA is filed under the name Wolfiporia cocos MD-104 SS10. RNAcentral describes it as "tRNA-Arg (ACG) (tRNA-Arg-ACG-3-1, tRNA-Arg-ACG-3-2)". It matches the Rfam family "tRNA". Rfam says of the family: Transfer RNA (tRNA) molecules are approximately 80 nucleotides in length. Their secondary structure includes four short double-helical elements and three loops (D, anti-codon, and T loops). Further hydrogen bonds mediate the characteristic L-shaped molecular structure. tRNAs have two regions of fundamental functional importance: the anti-codon, which is responsible for specific mRNA codon recognition, and the 3' end, to which the tRNAs corresponding amino acid is attached (by aminoacyl-tRNA synthetases). tRNAs cope with the degeneracy of the genetic code in two manners: having more than one tRNA (with a specific anti-codon) for a particular amino acid; and 'wobble' base-pairing, i.e. permitting non-standard base-pairing at the 3rd anti-codon position. The record is from Rfam by way of RNAcentral. Lineage: Eukaryota; Fungi; Basidiomycota; Agaricomycetes; Polyporales; Phaeolaceae.
GGCCGCGUGGCGAAAUGGCAUCGCGUCUGACUACGAAUCAGGAGAUUGCAGGUUCGAGACCUGCCGCGGUCA